RNAcentral lists this non-coding RNA (27 nucleotides) under Homo sapiens (human). The record is from RNAcentral. Lineage: Eukaryota; Metazoa; Chordata; Mammalia; Primates; Hominidae.
CAUGACGCCUGAUACUUACUUGAAGUC